GCCUCCGUGGUCCAGUGGGUAGAGCGUUGGACACAAGAUCCGGAGGUCCCGGGUUCAAAUCCCGGUGGGGACA
Molecule: transfer RNA, 73 nt
Filed under: Pectinophora gossypiella (pink bollworm)
Lineage: Eukaryota; Metazoa; Arthropoda; Insecta; Lepidoptera; Gelechiidae
Description: transfer RNA leucine (anticodon CAA)
Rfam family: tRNA
About the family: Transfer RNA (tRNA) molecules are approximately 80 nucleotides in length. Their secondary structure includes four short double-helical elements and three loops (D, anti-codon, and T loops).
Source: RNAcentral